GACGAACGCUGGCGGCGUGCUUAACACAUGCCAGUCGAACGGAAAGGCCCUGCUUUUGUGGGGUGCUCGAGUGGCGAACGGGUGAGUAACACGUGAGUAACCUGCCCUUGACUUUGGGAUAACUUCAGGAAACUGGGGCUAAUACCGGAUAGGAGCUCCUGCAGCAUGGUGGGGGUUGGAAAGUUUCGGCGGUUGGGGAUGGACUCGCGGCUUAUCAGCUUGUUGGUGGGGUAGUGGCUUACCAAGGCUUUGACGGGUAGCCGGCCUGAGAGGGUGACCGGCCACAUUGGGACUGAGAUACGGCCCAGACUCCUACGGGAGGCAGCAGUGGGGAAUAUUGCACAAUGGGCGGAAGCCUGAUGCAGCAACGCCGCGUGCGGGAUGACGGCCUUCGGGUUGUAAACCGCUUUCGCCUGUGACGAAGCGUGAGUGACGGUAAUGGGUAAAGAAGCACCGGCUAACUACGUG
This 468-nucleotide ribosomal RNA is filed under the name uncultured bacterium. RNAcentral's name for it is "partial 16S ribosomal RNA". It matches the Rfam family "Bacterial small subunit ribosomal RNA", at positions 28 to 507 of the family's 1533-position model. The record is from RNAcentral.